GUCUCCCCCGUCCGCUGCCCGGUCUCCUGUGGCCGCCCCUGCCUUCUGCCCGGUCCCUGUCCUGUGCGUCGGGCCCUUCCCAAGGUGCAGAGGGCGCCACUGCAGACCCGAGGUCGCGGCCACCGGCUCCUGGGCCAGGCCCUUUUUCUCUCCUCGAGCCGUCGGGGGAGGGUCUCCAGGGUGCUUGUUUGGGGAAAGCGGAAACAGACUGUCUGGGCCGCUGUUAAAAUGUCAGCAGCCAAGGAAGAAGCAGCGACCUGGCGUCUGCUCGGGCCAGGGUUGAUAGAGAGGAGUGGAGUGAUAUCGGACACCCAGCUUCAGCAAGCUCUCUCCAAGGGUGAGUGGGCCAGUGGGACCUGGGCCUCGGGACCAAGAAGCCGCGAGCCUGCCCUGCUCACAGUGGAUAACUUUCUUUCUGAAGUUGAUUUUCCAAGGACAAAGGAAUCAUUAGGACAAAUUAUUAUUACUGCUUCAUGGUGGAGAUGCUUCUGGUUUAUUUUGUGGCUACCGCUGUCACUGCUUGGAGUGCCUCACCGAGCCAGCUAACAACUGCGUGCGUGAGCACAGGGAAAGGCUUCUUGAGAAAUGAAAACUAGGUUGUAGGUUUAGGAGGGGAAUAGGAAGGUUAGCUCUGUCCAGCCGAAAGCCUUUUGGUCAGUUGGAGGUGCUUGAAUUUCCUGGGUGACUGCAUCUUGGUGACUUCUCUGAAUAGACCUUCGAGGGCACUGGGGGGUGAUUGUUGGAGGGCUUGGGGAGCUCAGGCAGCACUUGUGUGGGAACGUGGCUGUUACAGGAACUGCAAGAAACGUGGGGCUGGGUUCCGUAGGGGAAAGGAUUGGGGGUGUUGGAGGCGCUGGCAGGGGAGUUAUGGGGAGGUGUUCUUAUCAGUGUGCGAAUACUGGGCGUUCAGGCAGCGGGAAAUCCGGGUCCUUGCGUGUUGUGAGCUCCCUGGAGUUACGUUCUUGCCAGUUUCAGCUCAAUUGAUCCCCCUCCCCUGAGCUAUCAUUGGAUACAUUUUACUUCAUUGAACACCUGACUGCUGCUUUUUCUGUAAUCCCUCAGGGGCAGUCAUCUUUUUCUGAUUCUGUGUAUAGUUUGCCUUUCCAGAUCCGUGCCAUUUAAGCUAGAAAAGGGGUCAGUUUUGAGAUGUUGUGAAAAUGUUGAAAAGGUCUCCUCGUUAUUAGUGGGAAGUAUCUGAUGUUGCCAGAGACUGAACUGGGGCGCGGGGAGCACUACGGCUGCUAGACACUGCCUCACUGCGCUGUGGGUUGGGCGGAGGGGGGUGCUGGAUUCAGUCUUACUGCCUAAUGAUUUGUGAGGAUUUGUGUUUUCAGAGUAACAUGUUUACCUUAUGUUAUCAGUUCCUAAUAUGUGACGUAUGGGCCACAGAUGCUGGUGUAUUAUUUCACAUGCAUUUAUAUAGAUUGUUUUCAGGGAAUUCAGAAAUUCUGUUAUCUCUACACUAGUGAUUGUGCUUUCUUGAUUUUUGUCUUUUCAUUAUUCUUAAAUCCUCCUUUUUUUAUUUGCAUCUCAGUUUAUUUAUACUCGGGAAGUGCAAGACAUGGCGACUAGAAAGAGAUGUCAAGAGAACCCGGAAUCCAGUAGGCUACAAUUUGGCAAAUCUUAGCUUAAAACUUCCUAAAUGUUGACCACAGUGGAUGCAAAUGGCUCUGUGCAUCGUCUGUUCAAUAUGGUCAGGUGACCACCCAGGUUCACGUGGUUUGUCACCAGGGUGAUACGAGCCACACGGAGUGCCCUCCUCAGAGGCCAUGUCUCAGAGACGUUUAUUUUGAGUGGUUUUCCAGCGAGUGAUGCAAGAUUUAUGAUCCAUUUUAACAGCCUGCUUUUUAUGCAUUUGCUCAACUUUUUAGAUUUUAGGUUUAGUUUUAGGUUUUCUGUUAAACUUGCUCAAAUAGGAGUGGUGGUCAAAUACUGGACCUCAUUAGUAUGGUAGCCUGCCCACCUUGGCAGGCUCCACUGGAGUGCUUUGGGGCCUGCCUGGAUUCCAGUCCUGGCUCUACCAGUUUUGUGUCCUCGCUGUUACUGGGAGGGAGUAUUGAGGAAAUGCAUGCGAGGUGUUUCCAUGAUUCCUGGCACGGAGCAAGUGCUCAGUAAUUGUCAGCUGUGAGUAUUAGUAGUAGCUAAUACACUGCUACUAUUCUUGGCUAACAAGCCAGCUCAAAGCUUUGAUGGUUUUCCAUUACCUGAUGAUGGUGAUGAUGGUUUCCACUUACUGAACACUCACACGCUGGGCUAGGCACUUAACCCAAAUCCAAGGUCAGCAUUAUUGUUUGGGGGUUGGGGAGACACCUCCUGCUCUGACUUGUGUGUUUGGGUUCCCGUAUUUUCACCAGAGGGUGUUAGUCCUGCCCCAGUUCAGCUGGUCCUCAAAGUGUAUAUAGCUCUUUAACCAUCAGCAAGUGUCUAUCAGAACAUAAUCUUGAUUUCAGCUGCUACUAAAUAU
This 2464-nucleotide long non-coding RNA is filed under the name Pan paniscus (pygmy chimpanzee). RNAcentral's name for it is "lncRNA (ENSPPAG00000044771.1)". Lineage: Eukaryota; Metazoa; Chordata; Mammalia; Primates; Hominidae. The record is from RNAcentral.